Long non-coding RNA from Brassica rapa (field mustard), 8156 nucleotides. RefSeq lists it as uncharacterized. The record is from RefSeq and is a predicted model, not a curated record. NCBI's taxonomy places the organism in Eukaryota, Viridiplantae, Streptophyta, Magnoliopsida, Brassicales, Brassicaceae.
AUUGAUUAAAAAAUUAUUAGCGAUUAAUUAAAAUGGAGGUGCAGCAUGAUAAAAGGGAAAAGACUAUAAAGGAGAAAAAGCCAACACACGCAAAACAGUAUCUGCCAAAACCCAUCUGUGUUUUUACUCUACCUAGAACAGUAAUGAUAAAAAAAAAAAUCAAAAUAAAAAACAGCUAACUAAAUAAGGAGGCAGAGAGACAGGCCAAUCUUUGUUUUUUCGUUACUUUCCAAUUUAAUUGUUUUAUUUAUUCAAGAAAAAAAAAACAAAAUGGUUGAACAAAAAAGGAUGUCUUUAUCUCUGUGAGAAGGACAUAGCAUAAGCUUGUUUCUCUCUCCUAUUUUCUCUACUCUCUGAUGAUCAUCAUGAUGAUGGUGAUAUAUGUGCAUGUACAAUGAUAUCAUCAUGAUAAAUGUACAUGAUGAUGUAAUUGAUGUUUGAUGAUAUUGCAUGAGGAAAAUUGUAUGAUUCUCAUUGCUCGCGUGAGAAGCGUGAAGGUCUCUACUCUUUUUAAAAAUUAACAGUUAAUGAAUUUAUUUAUUUUUAACUUAAGAGUUAUGAAUUCUAGCAAAAUAUUUUUUAUGAAUAGAAAAACAAACAGAAGGAUCGUCAUUUUUUGGCUAUUAAAUAAUUUGAUAAGGCUUUUAAUGUUUUUUUUUGAAACACUUUUAAUGUUAAAUAUAUAUUCAGUCAGUUUUAAGUUGUAUCAUGUAUGGUACGGAUCCGAUUUAACUUUGAUCGUUUGUCAAGGAUUAAAAGGGAGUCGACAUGUGUGGCUGGUUAAGUACAAUCUGUGUUUGGUUGUGUAAAAUAACGAUUUGUACAGAAUCAAUGUCUGGACAAAGGGAUAGCUUCUUAAUAUAAUAUACGGUGAGACAAGAUAAAAGAAUACGUAUUUUAUACAGAACUAUACGUAAUUAAUAAAGAGAAAGAGAGAGUAAUAAAAUUAAAUGACAUGUGAGGUCUCAUCAUGAGUCCAACUUUGUGCAUGCGCUUCGAUUUUCUACAUGGCAGAUAUACCCACGUAGCCACCUAUACACCUUUUUCUUCUAUUCUGGACUGGUUUGCGUUUUUGUUCAAAAAAAAAAAGGACUGGUUUGCGUUUUGUUAUUUUAAAAUACAGCUACUAAUACUUUUUCUCUGUUAAAUACACCCAAAUAUAUAUUCUUUUCAAGUUCUAUUCUUUUCACAAAAGACCACUUAACAUUAUUGACUACGAGGUUUCUUCUCGCGCCACUCAACACGUUUUUCUUUUGAGUUUUGAGUUUACUUCGCAUCAUGAGGCAUUAGGUUAUACUACAUCAUAUUUGUAUAUAUGAACUACGAUGUAAAGAAGUUUUUGGGCUAAACCUAGUAUUCAAUUUUUGUUGUUUAAUAUCCACGUCUAAUAAAGAAAUGAAAAAAAAUGAGAGAAUAAAAUGAGAUUUGACUUAUAAAAAAAAGGUUUGGACUUGUUUAAAAGAAUUUCACUUAACCUAACUGUUGAAUGGUAUACGUAAUACCUAAAUUUUGCUACAAACAUAACAACGGAUUUAAUAUACAUCUUGAUCUCGUAAUUGUCCUAAGAAAAAAGGUGAAAAUACGUCACAUUCAAUACUUUUAUCAGUUUAUAUGUUACCAAACUUAACUAAUGCUGUUAUAUAAAGUAUUUAUCGAUUUACAUACCUAAUACAAAUAUACAACAGCACAUUGCACAUGUAAUUAAAAUCAAAAGAAAGUCUAUAUAUACCUUAUAACAAGUAUGUUUGUUUUACAAUAAGAGCAAAUUAAAGAGUAACACAGAAGAAAAAAGAGUUGGUCAUAGUUUGAUCUCAGAUGUAGUAGUUUUGUAAUUCGAUCAUAUGUAUCAGCCUGUUUUUCCUGAAAAUGGACUUACAUAAAUGAAUUACGAGUUUUCAUAACCUGAUUAAAAACAAUAUAUGUUGAUUAUAUAUAUUAUAUAUCAGCUUAUUUGUUUACUGAAAAUGCAUGGACUCAUAUGUAGUCUACUAGGAUUUGAGAUAGUUGUAAAAAAAAAAAGGACUCGUAGAAUUUUAUCAUGGAGCCAUGGAGGGAUAUUCUCGACACAUGAUAAAUCUAGCAGCAUGCAUUCAUAUAAACAACCACAGUCUGUAGAUUACAUAUAUUGGCCCUAAUAAUUAAGGAGUCGGCAUUUUGCAUUUUGACUGUUCUCUGUUCCCUCGGCUUGAAUCCUGAAAGGGAUAUAGGAUAGGACCCAUAACACAUUAUGCAUUAUGCAGUGCUCUUUCCUAAAAGGCUUUGGAUGCUUUCGUAAUAAGGAAAUAAAAAGUAUAGUUAGAGUGCGUAGUUUGGUUGCUGGAGAAAAAAAGAAUGUCAAAGCUUUUAAUUUGACAAUAUCUAUCUUUACAAAAUAAUAAUUAGCUUUAUUAAUAUAUAUUUUUACUUGUGGUGCCAACUUUUUAUUUUAGCAAGAGGCAUGGAGCAUGAGAGUACCCCACUGGGCCAAGUCCACUUACUCUUGUUCCCAUGUCAGUAUGUCACACACUACAUACAUCGCUUGAUUUCCCAAAUUUCCAAUGUUUUCUUUUCUUUUCCGUUUCCACCAUUUAUAUUCAUCUUUUUAGAGCUCCAUACAAAUGGACGCAUAGAUCUGAGCUUGUAUCUCGUUUCAUACGUGAACUAUAUAUGUAUAAAGUUUCAUGUUUUUAUUAGUUCCAGUUAUGUGUAAACCAUGUUUUUGUUUGUCAAACAAGGGUAAUUGGAUGUUCGACGCUCGGGAUACCAAAUCUCAUGGAGUUGAGGUUAGAACGAAAAAAACUGUAAAACAUGAUAAAUACUAAUGUAAUUUUUGCGAAUAAGUUGAGAUAUAGUUAGUACCGUACGUGAGUGCAGUCUAAUGUCUAGUUUCGAUUAAGACUAAGCAGUGUUUAUUAUGAUCAGCUGAAUUGAAAUAUUGCAAUGUUGGAUCGAAAUCAGGGAUCUCUUUUCGUUGACAAAACUUUUCUACAAUCACUACAAGAUUUACAUGGUAUAACUAUAAUAAAUGGCGUAUUAAGUUGUGCAUUUUGUCAAAAUACAUCAAUUCAUUACGAGUUAUAUAUAAAUUACUUGCUGUGUAGUCUAUAAAAGCUAAAUAACAACAGCAAAGCAUCCAUCAUAUAGCUAAUCAAGCUUUAUUUGAUAAAAAAAGGCUAAUCAAGCUUUAUUAUCAUGUCCAUAUAUACAAUACAAGGUAAACCAAAAACAAAACAUGAGUUUACUCCAUAAAUGGGAAAUCGAUGCAGCAAUGAUAUUGAAAUCACACACUCAAUGGAAAGGAAAGCACAAGUGUCUUUGUAUACCACUCUAUGGAAUGAAAUGGAAGUUAACAAAAAGUCAAAUUAAAAGCCCUAUUUUUUCCACAAGUCACAAUUGUGUUCUUCUUGCUUUGCUUCAUUCUCACAUCUCUUUCUUCUGUUCCUAUUGUUUUAAGGAAUGAGAGAGAGGUGGAGGGAGGGACCCAUGCAUGGGCAUGAUAGAGGUGUAAAGUCAGGCAUGGAUAGAAAAGAAGCCUCCAACUUUGAUAGGCUGCUCAUGCAUAUAUAGUAUCGAUCAUAUAGUAUUCAUAUAUAUGCAUAUAAUAAUUAUGAGUGGGAUUAAAGUUUGUGGAUAUCACUCGCCAUGAGGUUAACAAUAUUGGAGCUUAUAAAAGACGUCCCACAAAUAUAAUUUUUCCAUUACGUCAUAUGACAACAUCGAAUAGGAUUUGAAGAAUCAUGAAGAAGAGUAGAAGAUGAUCAUUUCCAUAAAAUAACGGACUCGUUAGUCAAAGAUGUCCAUAUUCAUUCAUCUAAUUCUAAUCUAAGCAUUCGUUAGUCAAAAUAACUAAACAUCAGAUAAAUCUUAAAUUUAUCUUAACCAAAUUAUAGAUUUCUAUCGCUGAGUAAUUUUUAUGCUAAACUAUAUCGCUGAUUAAUUGUAAGAAGAUAUAGCGAGUUGGUUAAAUUUUAUUUUUAUCCCUUUAUCAACGUCUCUUUUCUGUAUACAAUUUACAAGCCACAUUUUAACUAUAUAAAAUGUUAUAAGAAACAAAAAAAAAAGUAAGUUAGAAAAGCGUUAUUAGCAGCAACACAAUUUUAACAUGACAAGAAAAUGAAGUUCAUAAUGUUCAAAAAGAAAAAUAAAAUGAAGUUCACUAUAAAAAAAAAGUGCAAAUAUAAUGGGACAGCCAGAAUGUGAUCCACGUGUCUAAAACUGAUGCUCUGUCUAGCAAAAUAUGGCAUCAUCAUACAUAUCAAACGCUACUUAAACCUUAAAUAUAUUCUUUUUUGGUUCAAAUAUCUAUAGCAUAAAACAGAGAUGCAGAUGGUAGGAAAUGGUGGUGGCUUGAUUACUAAAGGAGUAUAGUAGGAUGUAGGCCUUUCAUAUUAUUUAGAUCCAACAACCAUGAAGAUGAAGAAUAGAUAUGUACAUUAGUACUUUGUUAGCUUUCUUUUCCAAUGAAGCGUUGUAGCAAUCAUUCCCUUAUAUAUAAUUUGAGUUAUAUUUCUUACACAGACACACACACCGAAACACACGAUACCACUCAAUUGUAUGGGUGUGUGACCUGACUCGCAACACAUAGAACUUUUGAAAACAUUCCAACAUCUUAUAUUCUUGUUAAUAUUUUCUGUUAUUUAUCAUAUUUUUCCUUUAUUUUUUGGGAACUUGUAAGGAUUUCAUACGUUAUUUAUAUUUAAGGUUUUAAAUUUAUGGUUCACCAGUAGUUUUAAUAAUAAUUUUCUAUUUCAGUUUUAUAUAUAUUGUAUGGAGCAUAUUAUACAUAGAUGUUCAAGCCACUAAACUACAUGGAGCAUUGUUGUAGACUGUUUCAAAUUCAAUUACAUCAUACAAACUGAUACAUGGCUGGGAAGACCAAUACGAAAAGUUACUUUUUGUGUUUCAGAUUCAUCCUCUUUUGAGAAUGAUGAGUACCUCUGUAUUUUUGUAUUAUUAACAACCUAAAUAUGGGUUUUGAAAUAAAUAAUUACAUAUUUAUGUCAUAUUUUGAAAUUUUGCUCAAAAGAAAACAUCCCAUGUUAUGUGACUUUGACAUGAUUAAUGAGAAAAUUUGUGUUAUUUGUGGAUAUAUCUGUUUAACUCAUGAAAGCUUCGUCUAGUAAUUGAAUGAUAUGUAUACCUAUAAGUCAAAUUUUUCCUUCAUAUAGAAACUCGAGAAGGAAACACAUGUGUCACCUAUUUUGAUUUUGUAUAAAUGAAAUUUUGUUUUACAAGUCUUUGAAAAUAUUCACAUAAACCGUGCAGUCCAAAGAGAGACGGUAACUAAAGCGCAAUAAGCCAACAACCUAAACUUCAGCCAGAAGCUGUCUGAAAAUCAAAGCAAUGCUUUUAAGGAACCUUAUUAAAUCAAGAAUUUUUAUAAAAAGAUUAUACACAAAAGGUUGCAAGAGAACAAAACAUGGCUUCUGAUAUGUAAACUGUCUGGAAAUGAAAUGAUUAUGCUUACUGCAUAAUAAAGUGGCAAACUAAGAAAGAAUAUUAUACCCUUGUUUUUGAAUUGAAUGUAAAAUUAUAUUUAAAUCAAGCUUGGUUACAAUAGAUGCAUCUUGUUUUUGAGAAUCAGGUUUGGAGAUACAGACUUUUUAGACAUAUUUUCUUGAUGAUCCGAUGAAACAAAAAUGUAAGCCGUAUACAAUGUCGCCUACAGUUGUCUACAUCUAUGUUCCUCUCGAACGUCUUUUUUUCUUAAUUUCGUGUGAGAAAAAAUGAUAGCUAUUAAUGAUGUAACAUCUGUGGAAGAAGUUAGAACUUUUCAAACCUGGUUGGCGCAUCUAAAUUAAAUUGUUACACUCUUGGAUUCGAGUAUAUGCUACUAGUGAAUAGACACGAGAGAUGGUUCUUGCUGAUGAAUCCUGUGUAAAUUCAAUUUUUUAAUAAAAUUGACAACAAAAGUUUCCUUCAGAUAUUCUAAACAUAUAAUCAACAAUUUUUAUAAAUAUUUCUUCUCAUAUCAUAUUAAACAAAGCAAACAAAUUAUACAAACCUAUUAAAAAUUACGAUAUAUCAAAGUUUAUAAAAGAUUAUGACCAAAAAGAUAAAUUAAAACUAUUUUAUUUCAAUAAUAAAUAACACUUAAUUACUUAUUUUAUGUCAAUAAUUUGUUACAUUUGAGACUAAAUCCGUGUUAAAACACAUACCUAGAUCUAGAUUCGAACCGAACCUAAAUUUUUUGGUCGGUUCCGGUUUAGGUAAAAUGGCCAGACCCACAUGCCACAUAAAUACAUCAAAGAAACACCGAAGUAAAAGCUAGGCUAGAUCAAAAAUGGUCUUGUGACGAAGUGAGUAACUCAAAUCCCCAAGGAUGGAUGAAUGAUCUCAAAACCAUCAAACAAGAAAGAUAAAGAUAUUUAGGCAGUCUUGGGUAUUUUGACAGUAAUUCUAAUAUGUUUAAAGGGUAAUAUGGGUAUUUGACCAAUUCAAACUCUUGCCCAAGUAAGUUUACCAAGAAUGGUCAUCAAGAAUGCUUAGAAGUGUUGACGACCUUAAACCCAUCGAAGCUUAGCAGAGGAAUCUCCCUUUCUCUCUACUGUCGAAUUGUUUCUUGUAGCCAUAAGGUAAAAUGCUUUGCUUUCUUUCUCUUCUUCCCCUGUAUGAAAUUUCCCUUUUGAUACUUUCCUUAAAUGUCAAAAACAAACACCCUAAACUUAAGGAACUUUCAUUCUUGGGUUUGUUUCCUGUAGAUUUUGUUUCUUCAUUUCGUAUUCCAUAUCUUGUGAUGAGUUCGUUGACUUGUCUAAGAACAUAAUGUCUCAGUUUACACAUGGUUCUUGGUUAUCUCAUUUAUGAUAUCAAACUAUACUUCUGCGCCGCACAAUGUUGCAGCUUAGUUAGCUAACUCGUGUGAGAGAAGAGCGCAAUGAGCUGUUUUAGUUGGUGCGGGAGUGACUCCAGACCAAUGCAACCGCACAACAGACCAAUGCAACCGCACAACCCAGCAGGUAGCUCUGGUUCUUGAUCUCAACAGCAUUGCUUGUCAGUGUUAUCUUAGUGUCCAAUCAUUUAACUUCUACUGGGUAAAUUGGAUUGUUUCAAUUGUUGUUAAGGUCACUAUCAAAGAGAUGAUCAGUCAGUAGUUCAGACGCAGAGUAUUGCUGUACCAGCCAUUCCAGUGGAUGAACUGAGAGAUAUAACUGAUAACUUUGGUUCAAAGGCUUUGAUCGGUGAGGGUUCAUAUGGAAGAGUGAACGUAACGUAAAACCUUACGGUGUUUUACGGUUCACUAGGAGCCUCUAACUUCAAAGCUCCAGAGUAAUGCCCUUUUAGAUAUACUCUUUUUUUUUUAUUCAGACUAAUCCAUUUUUUUUUGAAACACUUCAGAUUCAGACUAAUCCAUUCUGAUGUUUUUUUUUCAAUGGUUGUUGGUUCAAAAAUGUUUGGUUCUUAAUGCCCUGAAGUUAAGACUAAUACAUUUUUGGUUCUUAGUGACAUCAAAUGUUUUUUUUUCUUAUCAUUGUUCUUCUUAGCAUCUCUUCUCACUGCCAAAUCAUUUCGGUUGUGUUCAGGUAUAAAAUAUUUGGAGUAUUGACCAGAAAGAGAUGUAUACAGUUUUGGCGUUGUUCUGCUGGAGCUCCUUACAGGUCGUAAACCAGUUGAUCAUACCUUACCGCAUGGAGAACAAAGUCUAGUGAGAUGGAUACAGUCUUCUCUGCUUCUGAUUCCAGUUUGCUAGCAGUGAUACGAAAAGCUUUUAAGAAAGACCAAUUUUAAUAUGAACUCAUUCAAGUCUGUUAAACAACCAAAGAAGCUGGAAAAAUCAAGAAGAGAUUGACUAUACUACGAAUAUUUCCUAAAAAUGAAAUAAAUAUAUUUGUGUGUUGUCUUAGGCCUACUAAACUAAGCAAAGACAAAGUGAAGGAAUGCGUUGAUACCAGACUUCUCGGAGAGUACCAUCACAAAGCUGUUACCAAGUUAGCUGUGGUGGCAGCAUUAUGCGUGAAAGAUGAGGCAAAGUUAAGACCAGACAUGAGCAAUGUGGUGAAGGCCCUUCAGACUGUUCAAGACUUCACUUUUCUAUCAGGGUUUUAACUUUAUAAUGUUCUUUCUUAUAUUUUGUGUUUUAUGCUUAUUAUCAUCUUUUAUUCCCACUAAUUCUCUUCCAUUAAUAAUUUAAACAAUGUAUGUGUCUAUCAUUCUAUAUCUCUCGUAUUUUUUAUACU